GCAAACUUGGUCAUUUAGAGGAAGUAAAAGUCGUAACAAGGUCUCCGUUGGUGAACCAGCGGAGGGAUCAUUAUAGAAGUUGCAAAACUCCUAAACCAUCGUGAACUAUACUGCUGAACGUUGCUUCGGUGGGCGGUCCCGGGGAGGGACCGUAGCCCGCGAGGGCGCCCGCCGGAGGACCCAAACCUCUGAAUUUACAAGUCUCUCUGAGCAAGAAAACAAAUGAAUCAAAACUUUCAACAACGGAUCUCUUGGUUCGGGCAUCGAUGAAGAACGCAGC
Molecule: unclassified non-coding RNA, 280 nt
Filed under: uncultured fungus
Lineage: Eukaryota; Fungi
Description: partial contains small subunit ribosomal RNA, internal transcribed spacer 1, and 5.8S ribosomal RNA
Rfam family: Eukaryotic small subunit ribosomal RNA (bases 1-73)
Source: RNAcentral